CGCACCUUGCACUCUUUGGUAUUCCGAAGAGUAUGUCUGUUUGAGUGUCAUGAAACUCUCAACCCCCUCAUUUUGUAAUGAAAUGUAGCGUGGGCUUGGAUUAUGGCUGUCUGUCGGCGUAAUAGCCGGCUCAGCUGAAAUACACGAGCAACCCAGUUUAAAAACCUGACGGCUUGACUCGGCGUAAUAAUUAUUUCGCUGAGGACGUCUUACCUUUAAAUCGUUAGUGGUGCUUCUAAUGCAUUAAUUUACUUUAAGCUUUAGACCUCAAAUCAGUCAGGACUACCCGCUGAACUUAA
RNAcentral lists this unclassified non-coding RNA (299 nucleotides) under Erythrobasidiales sp. RNAcentral describes it as "partial contains 5.8S ribosomal RNA, internal transcribed spacer 2, and large subunit ribosomal RNA". Lineage: Eukaryota; Fungi; Basidiomycota; Cystobasidiomycetes; Erythrobasidiales. The record is from RNAcentral.